CGUGCCUGCCCGUCGUGCAGAAGAAAAACAAGCAGAGAAGAAUGCAGCUUGCACAAUCAACCCAGCACAAGGAGUCUGAGAUGAAGAACUAAAGAAGCUGCCACAUCUGCUUGGAGAACAAAUAAGGAACUGCAACAUCACCAAAGAGCAAAGCUUCGCUGUACAAUUCCAAUCCAGUUCAAGAUCAAAGCUGUGGAAAGUCAACAAGAUCAACUAUCUCCAAAACCAGAUUUG
RNAcentral lists this long non-coding RNA (234 nucleotides) under Malus domestica (apple). Its description in RNAcentral is "long non-coding RNA (MDOM_LNC018773)". The record is from RNAcentral. Lineage: Eukaryota; Viridiplantae; Streptophyta; Magnoliopsida; Rosales; Rosaceae.